UACCAGCACCCCGAGUGGUCGGGACGAUUAUUGGGCCUAAAGCAUCCGUAGCCGGUCAUGCAAGUCCUCCGUUAAAUCCACCUGCUUAACAGAUGGGCUGCGGAGGAUACUACAAGGCUAGGAGGCGGAGGAGGCAAGCGGUACUCAGUGGGUAGGGGUAAAAUCCUCUGAUCCAUUGAAGACCACCAGUGGCGAAGGCGGCUUGCCAGAACGCGCUCGACGGUGAGGGAUGAAAGCUGGGGGAGCAAACCGG
Molecule: ribosomal RNA, 253 nt
Filed under: uncultured bacterium
Lineage: Bacteria
Description: partial 16S ribosomal RNA
Rfam family: Archaeal small subunit ribosomal RNA
Source: RNAcentral